This 253-nucleotide ribosomal RNA is filed under the name uncultured bacterium. RNAcentral's name for it is "partial 16S ribosomal RNA". It matches the Rfam family "Bacterial small subunit ribosomal RNA", at positions 524 to 776 of the family's 1533-position model. The record is from RNAcentral.
GACGAACUGUGCAAACGUUAUUCGGAAUCACUGGGCUUAAAGGGUGCGUAGGCGGUCUUUUAAGUCGGGUGUGAAAGCCUCUGGCUCAACCAGAGAACUGCGCCCUAAACUAGAAGGCUUGAGUGAGGUAGGGGUGUGUGGAACUUCCAGUGGAGCGGUGAAAUGUGUUGAUAUUGGAAGGAACGCCGGUGGCGAAAGCGACACACUGGACCUUGUCUGACGCUGAGGCACGAAAGCCAGGGGAGCAAACGGG